AGCAGCCGCGGUAAUUCCAGCUCCAAUAGCGUAUAUUAAAGUUGUUGUGGUUAAAAAGCUCGUAGUUGAACCUUGGGCCUGGCUGGCCGGUCCGCCUCACCGCGUGUACUGGUCCGGCCGGGCCUUUCCCUCUGUGGAACCCCAUGCCCUUCACUGGGUGUGGCGGGGAAACAGGACUUUUACUUUGAAAAAUUAGAGUGCUCCAGGCAGGCCUAUGCUCGAAUACAUUAGCAUGGAAUAAUAGAAUAGGACGUGUGGUUCUAUUUUGUUGGUUUCUAGGACCGCCGUAAUGAUUAAUAGGGACAGUCGGGGGCAUCAGUAUUCAAUUGUCAGAGGUGAAAUUCUUGGAUUUAUUGAAGACUAACUACUGCGAAAGCAUUUGCCAAGGAUGUUUUCAUUAAUCAGGAACGAAAGUUAGGGGAUCGAAGUCGAUCAGAUACCGUCGUAGUCUUAACCAUAAACUAUGCCGACUAGGGAUCGGACGAUGGUUAUUUUUUGACUCGUUCGGCACCUUACGGGA
This 520-nucleotide unclassified non-coding RNA is filed under the name uncultured Paraglomus. Its description in RNAcentral is "SSU rRNA". It matches the Rfam family "Eukaryotic small subunit ribosomal RNA", at positions 569 to 1095 of the family's 1831-position model. Lineage: Eukaryota; Fungi; Glomeromycota; Glomeromycetes; Paraglomerales; Paraglomeraceae. The record is from RNAcentral.